AAUGAACGCCGGCGGCGCGCCUAAUACAUGCAAGUCGAGCGAGAAGACGUAGCAAUACGUUUGUAAAGCGGCGAACGGGUGAGGAAUACAUGGGUAACCUACCCUAGAGUGGGAAUAACUAGCCGAAAGGUUAGCUAAUACCGCGUACGCUCCUUGGACUUCGGUUCAGGGAGGAAAGCGAUACCGAGGUAUCGCGCUCUUGGAUGGGCUCAUGUCCUAUCAGCUUGUUGGUGAGGAACGGCUCACCAAGGCUUCGACGGGUAGCUGGUCUGAGAGGACGAUCAGCCACACUGGCACUGCGACACGGGCCAGACUCCUACGGGAGGCAGCAGUAAGGAAUAUUGCGCAAAUGGGCGAAAGCCUGACGCAGCGACGCCGCGUGGGGGAUGAAGGUCUU
RNAcentral lists this ribosomal RNA (397 nucleotides) under uncultured bacterium. Its description in RNAcentral is "bacterial SSU rRNA". It matches the Rfam family "Bacterial small subunit ribosomal RNA", at positions 29 to 418 of the family's 1533-position model. The record is from RNAcentral.